CACUUGUUCGUUCUGUGACUUUGGCAUAUCAGACAACUGGCUAUUCUCACUCUGCUUGGAUGCUUCCAGUGACAGGGGACUCACUACUUCUCCCAGCAAAUUGUUUCACUAGUAGAUAGUGCUUCUGGAAUUUUAUGGAAUUUUAAAGCUGAGAGGAACGUUAUAAAUCAAGUGUAACUGCCUCACGAGAAAACCCAAGUUCAAGAGGUGAAAUGAGGCCGGGCACGGUGGCUCAUGUCUGUAAUCUCAGCACUUUGGGAGGCUGAAGCGGGUGUUCGAGACCAGCCUGGGCAACAUGGUUAAACCCUGUCUCUACUAAAAAUACAAAAGUUAACCAGGCAUGGUGGUGCAUGCCUGUAAUCCCAGCCACUUGGAAGCUGAGGCAUGAGAAUCACUUGAACCCAGGAGGUGGAGGUUGCUGUGAGCCAAGAUUGCAUCACUGCACUCCAGCCUGGACAACAGAUCGAGACUCCGUCUCAAAAAAUAAAUAAACAAACAAAUAAAUAAAUAAAUAAUAAAAUUCUACCUUCAAAAUUACUGUCUCCUAAUACUUUAUAACUACUAUGUAGUUUGAAGAUGAUCUGUUCUCUCUCUGGAAGCUUUUAGAGCUUUCUCUUUGUCAUAUUAUUAUUAUUAUUAUCAUUUUGAGAGAGGGUCUUACUCUAUGGCCCAGGCUGGAGUGCAGUGGUGCAUGAUCACAGCUCACUGAAGCCUUGACCUCCUGGGCUAAAGUGAUCCUCCUGCCUCAGCCUACCCAGUAGCUAGGACUACAGGCAAGUGCCACCAUGA
RNAcentral lists this long non-coding RNA (789 nucleotides) under Homo sapiens (human). RNAcentral's name for it is "HSALNT0039719". Lineage: Eukaryota; Metazoa; Chordata; Mammalia; Primates; Hominidae. The record is from RNAcentral.